UAGCGCCAGGUUGCCGACCAGCACCCGCACGAACGGGCACGGGUCCAUCGCUCACGGCGGCAGGCAGGCAGGUCGCAAUGCCUGCGACGACGACGACGAAUCGGUGAUGCGAGGCGUGGCAAUGCGGAUGGGAGGCGGCAAUGGCGGGCGGAAUCGGAGACGAAGACCGGAAGGGGGGGGAAGGGGAAGAGGAAAGGCUGGCACGGCGGCUGGGUGUGUUUUCGAUUUUCUUCUUCGCGAUGGGGAAGGAGUUGAGUGGUGACGAGGGAUCAUAGGCCUAGGGUAUAAGACUGGCCUCGGCCAGCCUGGAUCCCGCUCCGGUGAGCUGUUCACCUGCGCGCGGGGGGGCGGGGGCCUAUUUCCUCGUCGCCAGCGGUCCCGUCCCUGUCGCGGACACGUGGGUCCGGACCCUUGAGGUGGAUGUGGAUCCCAGCUGUCAGUGUGAGAAUGUGGAUGCGAACUCGGUGGAGUCAGGAUAAGGCUGGUGGUGGGCGUACGGGGAGGCGUGCGAGGCCGGUCCUCUCUGCCCGGUCAGUCCACUCCAGUCCAGUACAGCUGCAUGCCAGGCGCUUUUGCGGUGGGGCAGCGUGGGGUCGUCCCUGUGGCCGUUUUUCCUGGACGCCUGCCUCUUCUGCCGUUCUGCGUUCCCCUCCGGUUCUCCUCCCGCGGAGGGGCUGUUUAGUACUUUCGUUUAUUUAAUCACUUUCGCUUGUUUUUUUAUAAUUAUUAUCUAAUUAAUUGUUAAUUAGAUUCAAAAAAUAUUUCAUAAAUUAGAAAUAAAUUAUAUAAUUAGUUAUUUAAUACUCUAUGUAUUUGUAAGAUUUGAUGUAAUAGAAAACUUUUAAAAAAAUUUAAAAUUUUCCAGAAACUAAACAGCCGGUCACUUAACGGCGACGGCAAGCGAUUUCACCGCGCCUUUUUUACCGAGCCAGCGGCGGAAAGGCGGAUCCUACAGUACAGCCACAGCAUCCUCGGCGGCUGCGUGAGAAAGGACGAAAGGGACAGGGCAGCGGGGGAAGCCGCAGUUCGUGGGCCCACAGUGCCGGCGAGCCUGCCGGGCCAUCACUGCCGGCGCGGGGCCCUCAGCUGCGGCGUCGCGGUCCGGGGCCUUGUUUAAGACCGGUUUAGAUUGGGGAUGAAAAUUUUUUGUGUGUCACAUCAGAUGUGUCGGAAGGAUGUCGGGAGAGGUUUUUAGAAACUAACAAAAAACAAAUUACAUAGCUCGUCAGGAAACUGCAAGACAAAUUUAUUAAACAUAAUUAAUCUGUCAUUAGCAUAUGUGGGUUACUGUAGCACUUAAGGCUAAUCAUAGAGUAACUAGGCUUAAAAGAUUUGUCUCGUGAUUCUCAACUAAACUGUGUAAUUAGUUUAUUUUUUUAUCUACAUUUAAUGUUCUAUGCAUGUGUCCAAAGAUUCGAUGAGAUGGAUGAAAAAUUUUUUGGUGGGGAACUAAACAGGGCCUUAGUUCCUUGCCGAAAUUUUUUCGACACCGUAGCACUUUCGUUUGUUUGUGGUAAUUAUUGUCUAGUUAUGGACUAACUAGGCUCAAAAGAUUCGUCUCGUAAAUUUCGACCAAACUGUGCAAUUAGUUUUUAAUUUCGUUUAUAUUUAAUACUCCAUGCAUGCGUCUAAAGAUUCGAUGUGACGGGGAAUUUUGAAAAGUUUUUGGAUUUUAGGUGGAAGUAAGGCCUUGUUUAGUUCCCAAAAAAUUUUGCAAAAUUUUUCAGACUCCCCAUCACAUCGAAUCUUUAGACACAUGCCUGAAGUAUUAAAUAUAGACAAAAAUAAAAACUAAUUGCACAGUUUGGUCGAAAUUUACGAGAAGAAUCUUUUGAACCUAGUUAGUCUAUGAUUGGAUAAUAUUUGUCAAAUACAAACGAAAAAGCUACAGUGUCGAUUUUGCAAAAUAUUUUGGAACUAAACAAGGCCUAAACAAGGCCCGGAUGUCAGUGGGCGCGGGGGAAUUGGAUCAUCAGAUGAGGUGUCGCCUUUGCGGUGCCGGUGCGACUGGCUGCAGUGCAGUUAAAGAUUAAGGGUAACGGCCCCAGGUUUUGCGGUUUUGCCCCUUGCCGGACGGGGAAAAAAGGAAUCGUGACCGCUUUGCGUUGCUUUGCUUCACAGCGGGGGGAGUGUGAUUGUAGCAAACAAAAAAACUGCAAUCAAACAAAUCAUACUCCAUAUGAUAUACCUACAGGGGCUCGAACCAAAAAUAUUUGAAUGAGCAACGCAAGUGAAGUGAAGUUUCAAAAAUAUUACGUCCACAUGAUAUACCUUGUUUUCCACAUCCACAUAAGUUUUUGGUGCAUAUAUAUGAAGGGAUCUUUUUUUACCUCCAGCAACCGAACGACCGCACCUACAGGGGCUCGAACCGUGCACGUUUGGGUGCGCCGAACGGACACCUUGACCAUAUGCUCCGUGGAGCCGUUGAGAGUGUUUAGAAAAUUGAAAAAGUGAUUAUAUCUCUCGCUUUGGAUUUUCGUAUCAAAAAAUUAAUUAAUGUGUAUAAAAUAUAUACAAUAUUUCUACCACUAAAUAAAUUUAUUAAAGAAAAUUAGAUUCAAAAAUCCUUCCGAUGAUGUCGAUUAUAUGUAAUAUAAAUAUUAAAAAAUUUUAAUACAUAUUUUGUCAAAGAUGUUUCUCGACAAACGAAAACGAAGAAGGGAGUAGUACCUUUUAUCUAGAAACAUAUGCCCGUCCCAAAAUAACCCGUUGAUAGUUAUUUUGGGACCAAGGGAGUAAGAGAGUGUUUAGUUGGUGUUAAAGUUUAAUAGGUACUGUUGCAUUUCGUUUUAUUUGACAAUUACUGUCCAAUCAUAGACUAAUUAGGCUUAAAUGAUUCGUCUCGCAAAUUACUCUCUAGUUAUGUUUUUAGUUUUAUAAAUAAUCUGUAUUUAAUACUUCAUGCAUGUAUCUAAUAUAUUCGAUACGAUGGUUGUUAAAAAAAAUAAGGCCAACCAAACAGGCCCUAAAUUAACAUGGAGAAUUAGGCCCUAUUUUGGUUAGGCCUGUUAGACUUUACCAUCUGUGACAUCGAAUGUUUGGACACAUGUAUAAAAUAUUAAAUAUAGAUAAUUUACAAAACCAAAAACACAACUAAAGAAUAAUUUGCGAGAUAAAAUUUUUACUCUAUGAUUGACACUAAUUUCCAAAUAAAAUAAAAAUGUUACAGUACAAACUUUAACAACAGACUCCUUGGAAUGUGUAGAAUGUAUAAAUGAUAAUUCCGGCGGGAGCCUUAAACGUGGACAGCGGGUGUCAUUAGGUAGAGUAGAGGAAUUUGACCUGCAACAGCAUAUAAAAAGAAUAUUAGUCUAUGAUUCCGUAAAAUAAAACUAAACAUUGUGUAAAAUUUUUGGUAAAAAGAUAGUUAUUCUUCAUUUUAGAUUUUGGUUUUAAUAGACAAAAGAAAAAGCAUAAAAGAGUCUCAAGAGGACCUCUUGAGAACAAUAAAUUCUGUAUUUUGAACGAAACUAAACAUAACCUUAAAAAAAUUGGUAUUUUGUAUUCCAUCGUUUUUUGGGCCUUUAAAGUAGUUGGUAUUUUGUAUUUUGUAUUUGAAACUAAACAACCCUUACUCUUACUGUAUAUAUUGAAAAGAAAAACAUAACAUGAGAAGCGGAGAAGACAAACAUGAAAAGAGAGGAGGAGAAGACAAGACAAAAGAGGUCGCACGGACGCAAUCAUAGGGAUUCCCCUCUCGCUCUCCAAUCGCAGGUGAUGUGUUCGUCUGACUGCUCGGUGGGUCCAAGGCAUGCGGGACCCGGUUGAAAGUCACGUAGCCCGUGCCAUUCAUGGUCGACACAAGCAGGGCGCAUGACGAGUGGUUAAGCUGUUCUAGUACUCGUAUUGUUCUUUUUUGAAAAUAGCAAAAUGGAAAAUUUUAAAAGUGUGGUUGGUUUGGUUGGACUACAGCUGGGCACAGGCUGUUCCGGAUGGACGGACGGCCUGCCGGCCUGCUUGCCUGUCCUGUUGAAUUGAGGCACUCCGUUUCGAAUUCAAACCUUAUUUUAUUAUUCAUAUGCUCAUCCAGUAGUUGACAUGCGUACUUUUUUUUAAAAAAAAAGAAAAGGUCCACAUUCUCCAAACUAGAAAAAUGAAUGGAUAAAAAGGACAUGCGCAGACAUGAGCAAAUUUUGUGUCACCGUGUACGAGCUGCCAAUGGACAAUGGUGGAGCAGUAGCAUACCAACGAACGCCGCAUGAGCAGCUGUCUCCCGGAGGCAACCCAUUAGAGUAAAGUAUUACAGUGAGCUUAUAAAUCGGCUAAAUACUGAGGUGGAUAAAAGAAGAGAGGAGAGAAAAGAAGCAUGCUGUAAGUUUACAGUCAGCUUGUAAUCAUAAAAUUCUGUGAGAGAGAUAAGUGAGUUAUGUAUUAAUAAUGAAUAGCUAACUAUUGUAUGGGUAGGCUGAAAGAAAGCUACAAGUAACCUUACACAGCCAGCAAGUGGAUUGUAUUAUUAAACUUGCUCUUAGAAGACCUAGAUUCAAAAUGAGUCUCGACAUAAUAUCUAUAAUAUCUAAUAGAGUACCUAUAUGGAAGAUCUAUUUUUGAUAUGAAAAGAGGUAUAACCCAAAUAGGAGUAUCGUUUCUCCUCUAGAUCCAUUUGCAAGUAGGGUUUUCUUUUGAGUCUUAUUGUUAGAAAAGAUUAAAAAUAGAUAUAGAACUCUUUGCCUGUAGCGUUAACUUGGAAUGGAUUUUAUAUUUUGGAUGUAUUGACCGCCGUGGUCACCUAGGAUGAUUACUGGCAGGGCACUAUGCUUGGUUUCAGGUGAUUUUUUUUAUCACCAAUCACAUUAAAUGUUUGAAUAUAUGUAGAGACGAAUCUGCACCCCAGGCUAAGGGGUCUACAGCCUGAGGUGUAGUAUAAAAUUGCUAAGAAUACCUCCUCAUCUCCAAUCCAAAAUAGUUUAGUCUAGAUAUUCAGCCCUACUCGGUACUAAUGUGUCGUGGGAUUUUUAGCCUUCUCUUACUAUUUAGCCCUCCCUCUUGUAUCAUUUCUGAAUAUAUAUUAUUUGCAACACUAAGACAACAACUAGAGGAUAAUUUGCGAGAUGAAUCUUUUAAAACUAAUUAGUCCAUAACUAAACACUAAUUAUCAAAUAAAAUAAAAAUACUACAGUAUCAUCACUCCAACAAAAUACCCCUAGUCCCUAGACCAUGUAGUAUAUGCUAGUACUAUAGUACUACUACGUAUUUGCUGCAGUUCUGGUAAACUGGUCACGUGAGAGGAAAGUGCAUAUGCCAAUCAGCCAAUGCAUGCAUACAGUUGGCUAUUGAGAACUGACCUCGUAUAUACUAUUACAUCCCUCGUAAAAUUCCAAGCGCUUUCUGACGACACUCACAAUACAGACUCUAUCAUGGAGUCUAAAGUUAUUUAUUAUUUUAAACAAUGUAGACUUGGAGUCUAAAUAAGACUUGGAGUCUUAUUUUUUCUACCUCUUUCUUCAAUAAAUACGGUGCCACAUCAGCAAAAUACCAUAAAUAAUAUGUAAUUAAUUGUCUUGGACUCUAUAAUAGAGUCUUGCAUUGGGAGUGCCCUGAUGAAUAUGAAUGUGCAGUGCUGGUCGUUAAGAAAAAACAAUACAUUCUGUACACAGGUUUAUGUACGAGUUCAUUCAAAAAAAAAAAUGAGCCCUCGUACCCUCUGUUCGCUUACACUACUUCAAUAAUACUUUUUAUUGAAAUAAUACUAUUUUACUCUUACAAUAUUUUAAUACAAAUUUUGCCAUAAGCUAAGGCUAUGUUUAGUUUCUCAUAUAAUGCAAAAUACAAACUACUUUAGAAUGAUAAAAUAUAAAAUAUUAAAAAUUUUACGGUUAUAUUUAGUUUCAUUUAAAAUACAGAAUUUAUUAUACUCAUUAGAGCUUUUUAAGGCUCUUUUGGACUUAUUUUUGACCUCUUGAAGCUAAAAUAGAGAAUAGUUACGUUUUUGUUAAAAUUUUACAGGAUGUUUAAUUUAUUAUACAAAAUAAUAAACUAAAACCUAAAAAAAUAUAAGAUAAAAGAAGAACUAAACACACCCUAAAUUUCAGCUAAACAUACUGAGCAGAGCCGGCGGCCAGCUGGCCACAUCAAAGCAAGCAAGCUGGGCUCCCGCUUUGCUAGUGCUUCUCACGACGAUUUGAUGUGAUUUCAAACAGAAUUAGAGUGGUUUGAGCUUAUCAAUCAAAUCUGCCAAUCAUUUAACAGUAUUUUUCUAUCACAAUAAAUCAGCAAACAGCCAAACAAAUAAGGUGAGCUUUUUAUUUUAUAUGCAAACAGCACACUACUAGGCUAGCUGUACUGUAGUGCAAACAGCAACUUUAUAAAUCCGAUUGAGCAAGCGUUGCUUUCUGUUUUUGGUUGGGUCCGUCUGCAUGGGCCCUCAAACCUCAAGCCACGCUAAAUAAAGCUACACUACUAGGCUAGCUGGUGAACAGGUGAAGCUAAAGCAAAGAUUAAGAGCCUCCUUUUUUCUUUGCUUUGCUUUGCUCCCGGCCUGUCUGUCUGUCUGUCUGUCUGUUAUGGAUAGGCUGGCACUAAUCAUGGCGCUAAUGACCGCUGGCCUGCCACACCACACCAACGACGCUGAAUCUCCGCCCCCGAAAUUUUGCUUUUUGUUCCAUUCCAUCUCGUGUGUGCUACACUCCAGGUUCAGCCUUUAUCAGAUGAUGCAUUCAUUCAGCAGAUGUUUACCUGUGCUGUGCUGCUGUAUAGAACGAGUUCUGCAGAGCAGAAGAAAAAAACACCCACACCAGGUACUUUAGCCCCUCAGAUCGGAUUAAUUAACUGCACCUGCUCGCAAUCCAUCUCGUAAAGUUUCGGUUUGUUUUUUUUUAUCUACUGAUGACCACGCCAAUGCCAGUAAUAUAUCUAUCGUCAGUGCUCAUCAGCUGGCGGCCGGCCGUUUUUUUCUAUUCUACUCCCCAUGUCAUUAUCACAUAAUUACUCUAUAUGGCAGGGCAGCAAAGCUAGCUAGCAUGGUUACAAAAGGAUGUGACGAUCAGACAGACGAUCCAGAAUUUUUAAUCCCCUCGUCUUCAUCAGUCAGACAGUCAGUCACAAGAUGCAACAACAACAGAUCCUGCGCUGCGUGGAGUCACCCAGGCCAGCCAGACCGUGUGAAUAAUAGGGCUUUAAUUUGACCACGCCAUCCUGCACGCGACAGGUACUGUGUAAUUAACAAACCAGCUGUUGUGAGCACUAUAGGCUGUAUCCACUCCCUUGGCUGCGUGCGAGCUGCGAAACCAAACAAGGUGCAAAUUAAUUUGAGGCCCCUGCUAGUACCAAGAAAGACUUGCAGGCGGUGAUGCAUUUUCUCAGAUGCACAAGGGUGUAUCAUGGUCAGAUGAACUAAUUAAACUACUACACUGUCAAGCUUUGUGGUUGGUUGGUUGCAACAGAGAUCGACUGACAAGCAAACCUGUCAAACUCGGCCACAUGUUUCCAGUUGAAUACUACUUGGGAUGUGACUUGGGAGUUGGGACAAGGAGAUUUGGGUAGCUACGCACGCCUGCUCCAAAGCUAAGCAACUCUCGUGAGUGCCUUCGAUCUCGGCAGAUCGCGGCCCGGUGGAGGAAGUAGUCAUAGUCGUGCCUGCUCGCUUCCAAAUAAGGACGGACGACCAUGUAUGUCUUGGUUUCCUAAUUCUUUGUUCUAGCCCUGCGCAUAACACGGUUGUCAUUAUUGUUCAGUGAUUAUUUCAUCUCAAUCGCUUAUUGCUCUCGACCUUUAAAAAUAAAAUAACAAAUCUCUCUCACGUGGAUCCAGGAGAGGCCAUACGCAGCCAGCUAGUUUGGUUGCGGUGUACUCCGUACAAGUGAGCAGCUAACAAGCACAACACUGAUUGCACGUGGAUGGGAGUGGAUGUCUAUUUCGAAAGAAUCUUGUUCCUCCCAUCUCAACAAGUUGAUGUGAUCCGGUUAAGCAUUCGUGCCAUGCUGUCUCCUUACCUUACUCUUCAUUUUUCCUAGUAGCCUCUUUAAUCUUUAUCUGAAGUACCCCAAGCAUUAUAAAAAAGUAAUGCAAGUACAUUAUUACAUAAAACAUUUUCCAUAACUUUUCCGACCGGUUCAAUAAAAAUUGUUUAUAAUAAUAUAUACUGCCGGUCCCUAAUAAAAUCGUAGGCGCAAAUGAUUCUCACAGCCGCCGAGCCAUGUAACCUUAGGGUCGAAAGUAUUGGCACCAAGUCAGAAAUCAAACCUAUCAGGGCAUAUUUAAGAAAAACUUUCAAAAAAGGCUAAAAACAAAAAAGACAUGUAGCUAGAAUUUGAAUGACCUCUCGAGGCAUAUUUAAGAAAAACUUUCAAAGAAGGCUAAAAACAAAAAAAGACAUGUAGCUAGAAUUUGAAUGACGAUAUAAAAAGGGUUCUCCUUCCAUCCCAAAUUAUAACAUGUUUGACUUUUUUGACCCCAAGUUUAACCACUCGUUUUAUUCAAAAAAUUUAUGCAAUAGUAAAAUUGAAAUCAUUCUUGAAGAACUUUUAUUAAUAAACCAAGUCAUGACAAAAUAUAUAGUAUUUUGCAUAAAUUUUUGAAUAAGACAAAUGAUCAAAUUUGAUGUAAAAAAUGUCAAACAUCUUAUAAUUUAGGAUGGAUUAGCUUGACUCUCACAUGGCAUCUAUGGAUAUUUCUAGAGACCUCUUGAAAACUGGAAUACUGCCACCAAUACUACAACUAGCUUGACUCGAUCUCAAUCAGAUGGGUUUUGCACUUUAAACUGCAGCCGACCAAGGUCGAAAACAUGCAUUUUCCAAUCCAGCAAUAACUACAGUUCAGGAUCAGGAUCAAGGACAGUUUCGGUGUUUAUUGGCAUCAACCCAGUGCUUCUCACCCAAACAAAAUACCGGCAGCCAAUGAAGCAGAAUCUUCUGCUGUUACAAAAAGCACUCUACAAAUAACCCAGACGAAAGCAGACUGAUGCCCUCGCUCACUUGAAAUGGUAGAGGGGCAGCUCGGUGUUGAGGGGGUGGGACAUCACGGUAAGCACAUCCGUCACCGACACCAUGGAGCUGAUUGCUGCCUUCAGGAUCUCCCGGGAGCACCCUGGCUUCACCAUGGUCCUAACCUGGCAGCGCAUCAUCGUUGGGCAUGUCAAUGUUAGGACCUGCUUCUUAAAUGGAAACCUUUUUUUUUUCUAUCUGAAACUACUCUGAAGCAGAUGAAAGGAUUUUCGGUCCCAACCUUGCCAAGAUACUCUUUCAGUAUCUCAAUGUCGCCCAUGUAGUCCUGGUUCUCAAUGGUCAGUGUGAUGGGCUUUGCGUCUGAACCAGGCCCUUCGAACUGAAUGCCUCCUGGAGUCCUGUAGAAGUCAUCGAGGAGGAAGCUUGAAGCCUUCUCUCGCAGCAACCUGAAUGAUGCAGGAACAAAAUUGAUUCAGUACACCUUCCCUCAACGUUGCAUCGUUUCCUUGAGUAAUCAGAAAAGCAGGAACAGAUAUUGAGUCCUGUCUGUGUGGACUUACUCAUAAGCCUUCCCUUUUAGGUCAAUGGGGGAAGGAUGAAUGGAAGGUCUUCCUAUAGGGAUUGCUCCAGGGCCACGUAAAUGCCUCUUGACACUCAUCAUCGCCUGGUAGAGUGCAACUAGGUCAGUAAUGAGCACAUAGAUAGAUAGUAAUCUUUCAGAAUCUGAUGUUGAAGGCAUGGUCAGUGGCAUCUUACAGUUAAAGGAGCAGCAGCACAUCUCCAUUUGUCAACAGGGUCUUUCAGGUUAGCCACAGUUGCCAUGUACCCAGUCAAUCCAACUGUGAUCAUAUGCAGGGAGAUACGUCCAAGAGCCUAAAAUGUUUAGUGUUAUCAUGAAUAACAUAAGGAUUAGAUCAUCAGAACAUUCAGUUUUAUAAAAUCUCAGUGAUAUGAUAUAAUACUCACAUAAGCAUAGUCACAGUCAAAAUUUGACGGUAUAGAUCCUCGAGCCUGAUAUCCAAAGAAAUGACAAACUGAACUGAACUUCCUUCCCUUGUAUCUUCCUUCUUUCUGAAUAUCAAACAUUCCCAAUCACUAUGGACAGAUUCAGAGACGAAAACACCAAGAAAUAGUGACAACAAUGGAACUUACUGUUCUCUUUAUCAUUUCUGUUUCUACUAGAUGGGCUAACAGUUGCUCCGUGUCAAUCUGAAAAUAAAAGGACACUAUAAUACCAAUAAUUAUUAAAUAAGUUCUGACCGAGUAGUUGUUGGGCAUUCAGAAUCGCAAAACCUGGGACAACUGUGCAGAGUUAUCUGAUUCUUGGUGGAGCAGCAGCUGAGUGAAAUAUUACAAAUAGUUAAUCCAUAGUUUAUCUCAAUGUUAUAAAUAUUAAGAAAAUCCAACUUUGUUAGCAAUGCAAUACCUCUCUUCUGAUGAAGGGUGGCAAGAACUGGAACAGAGCAGCUGCCCAUGGAGACAGUUGUGAUGACAUCUCAGCCACCGGAACAUUAUUGUUGUGAAGGAUAUUGAUUUCCUGGGGUAUUUGAACAGAAAAUAAUAAGAUGGAACUGAAAUAAUGCUAUUUAUCAUCCCAUUGUUUCCCAGAAGAUAGAUCACACAUACCUGAAUAAGAGCAUACAUUUCUGGAAUGCUUUCUAUAAGUCCUUCGGGAAUUACAAGCACACCAUGAUAUUUCCCUGAAGAUGGAUAAUCAGUCUUUUAGUUUAUGAUUUAUCACAUCCCUGAAGAUGGAUAACCAGUCUUUUAGUCUAAGAUUUAUCACAGUACCCUGAUACCUUGAUCGACUAGAAAAUUUACCUCAACCAAAGAUACAAGUUUUUUUCUACUAAUUGAUGCAGCAUAACAAUCAAAGAACUGUACAAACCUAAUUCUGCCCUUGCUUGUACACCAUCGCAUAUCUUGUUUAUAAUUUCCAUCAGAGUGAGUUUUGACAAUGCUACUUCCUCUCCUAAGAUGAGCUGCAAAGAACAAUUGAAAAAAAAGGAUGCUGAUGCUCUUUCUUCACAUUGUAUAGUAGAGAGUUAUGACCACAAAUUUGAUACAAUCAUACCAUGUUUGGGUGUGACUGAAGUGCACAUUCAAAGGCAACAUGAGAUGCUUUCCGUCCCAUCAGACGAACAAAAUAAUAGUACUGAAAGGAAGAAAACACAUCAGCCAAUAGUUCUUAGUAGCAAUAAUGAUUACAGUCUACUCAGUUACUAAUCCAAAUGGGUGACAGGAUAAUUACCUUUCCAGCUGAGAUUGCAUCGAGGCAAACAUUGCUUACAAGCUGUGAAUUAACCUGUAAAGUAGUUACCACACAAAAUGACAUUAGUGACAGAUCGACAGUGGUAUGUCAUAUUUGAUUCCAAGCCCUUCACGAAUCAUGAUCGACACAUUAUGCAAAAUGUCUACUAGACUAUGUGUUUUACCUUGCACACUGUAUCAAAUCCAACUGUUGUUUCAACGAACUGGUUCUUGAGGUCACCAUUCAAUGAAACUGGCACACCAACGACCUGUUUAAUGGGUUUUGCAUUCUUAGAGAUUUUUGGUGUGCUUGAAGAAUAUGAUCAUUUAAAAACAGUUUAGACUAAUAAUAGUUAUACCUUGGUCUUACAGUUAUUCUGUAUAAGGGUCUCUGCAAGCUGUGCAGCAUCUGAAUUGGAGGUCACUCCUGUAAACAGAGUGAGAACAAUGUUUUUUUUAAAUGUUAGCUUGAACCAAGAGAAAAUUCAUGGUAAUUCUUACUAUAAACAUGUACUGCGUUUUCACAUGUUAGAACACAACAAGAUUUAAACUUCUGUGAUGACCACCAACUGCUUGGUCAAUUUGUUUAUAAAAUAAGAAUCAUCACUUGUGGCAUGUGCAUGCAUAUUAAGUCAAAACAAAAGAUGACCGGGUUUUGGUAGCCUUUGGUGAGCAUUGGGUGUCUACCUCCAAUGAUGACCAACCCAUCCAAGUUCAGACUGCGGCAUGUUGUCAUUGCAGCAUUCACUUGCUUAGUAGUGCGGAUCUGAUCGAUACUCCUACCGAGCAAAUCGAAGCCACCUUGAAAAGAGCAAACAAGAUAUGUCAGUAUUUGAGAAUCACAGAAAAAUGGCCACAAUUAGUUGGGGGACAACAAGUGGCCCCAACCUUGGUUCUUAUAGGAAGCAAGAACAUCGUCUGUGAGCACCAACGUCUUGUUUGCAAACAGUCCCUCCGUGCCACCUAUAAUACGAAGCACACAAAUGAUUAAAAAAGGAAAAGGCACUUUUAUAGCAAAAAAAAAAAGUGUGAUCGAAUAGGUAAUUUUCAAGAAAUUGGGAGAUUUUGGUUACCGACAAAUCCGUAGAGCACGCUCUGAGGAUUGUAGGCUUUGAGUGCGUCAUGGAGGCCCCAGACGACGUUGUGCCCUCCCGGCGACUGCCUCCCAGAGAACACCACGCCCACCCUACAGAGGAAGUAAAAUCAGGCAAGCCUCCUCGCCCGAUCUCGCGACGCACACGCACAAGACUAGACUGGGCGUCCUGAGGCAGACCUGAUCGGGUGGCGCUCCUCAGCAGCUGCGGCGUCGGCGGACGGCGCGACAAAGCUGACGAGCGGCUGGCCGAAGGUGUGCGGGAAGGCCUGCGCGACGGCUUGGGCACAGGUGGGGUCGAUGGUGGUGGUCGCGUCGCCGUACUCGGCCCUCACCGUCGGCCCCUGGACCGGGGAGAAGGAAUUGGGUUAAUUAAAACCGAUUUGUUUGGCCGUGGAUUGAUAGAGGAAUCAAGAAGGGUAACAAAACCCCCAAUAAACCCCCCCCCCCCCCCAAAAAAAAAUUUUAUGAGGAACUCAGAAUCACGCCACAACACAGAAACGACAAGAGUGGUGAUGUUACAGAGCAAGCAGAGAUGAGCAGGCGGACAGGAAUCGCAGGGAAUCAAAUGAAAAUUGGUGAUCACCUGCAGGCAUGGCGGGAGGGGAGGCUGGUAGAGGGCCCGUCGAUGCUGCAGCCCCCCCGCGAGCUCCUUGGGUGCGCCGAAGUCGGCGUUCAUCUCUCUUCUUCUUCUUCUUCUUCUUCUUCUUCUUGCUGGCUACUCGAUCGAUCUUUUGGCCACGGAUAGCGGAAGCCUCCGCCUCUCUCUCUCUCUCUCUCAGUGCAGCUCUCUUGACUCACUCACAGCGGUGGUCGCUUUCUUGUAGAGGGGAGAAAGCGAGAGGGGGUGGGGAUAAGAGCGAGAGGUACAGGGUAGCAUAGCAGGCUGCAGGCCGCGGCGCCGGCGGUUUGGUGGCGAGGCCCUUGCUGUUGGUUUCGCUUGUCCGCAGCAGUUGCAGACAGCGUAGUCGGACAGCGAGAGUCACCCUCGAGUCCACCUCCACUCUCCGGACUAUGCUGCGCUGUGCUGCCCACCAGCGUCGCGGCGCGCGCUGCCGGUUUUGCUCAUGCCUUCUCUGUGGGUGGUUGGUGCCGCUGCCGCUGCCGUCGUGGAUUGUGGCCUCGUUUAGUUGGUGGGACAAAAAAAAAAAAAUUAGUAUCUUAGUAUUUUUGUUUUUAUUUUAUAAUUAUUAUCUAAUUAUAGAUCAACUGGUUUCAAAAGAUUUAUAACGUAAAUUAUACAAUUAGUUAUUAUUUUUAUUUAUAUUUAAUUUAAUUUUCCAUGUAUUUGCCACAAAAUUUGAUGUAACGUAAAAUCUUCAAAAUAUUUUAGUAGUUAGGUAGAACUAAACAAGACCUGUGUUAUAUGUGGCCUUCCUCGGUGGGUGGCAGGAGCGGCGCCGACGCCGUCUGGUAGGGGAGCUUGUUGAGGCGGAUGCGGCAGUAGCAUGGCGCCGUGGUCGGGUGCACCCCGGAGCCGGACGAGGCGGUGCUGCGUGGCCGGCAGGCAGGUCGCAAUGCCUGCGACGACGACGAGUCGGUGAUGCGAGGCGAGGCAAUGCGGGUGGGUGGCGGCAAUGGCGGGCGGAAUCGGAGACGAAGACCGGAAGGGGGGGGAAGAGGAAGAGGAAAGGUUGGCACGGCUGGGGUGUGUUUUCGAUGGGGAAGGAGUGGUGACCAGCCUGGAUCCUGGUCCGGUGAGCUGUUCCCCUGCGCGCGCGGGGGCCUGGGCCUAUUUCCUCGUCGCCAGCGGUCCCGGCCCUGUCGCGGACACGUGGGUCCGGACCCGUGAGGUGGACAUGGAUCCCAGCUGUCAGUGUGAGAAUGUGGAUGCGAACUCGGUGGAGUCAGGAUAAGGCUGGUGGUGGGCGUACGGGGAGGCGCGCGGGGCCGGUCCUCUCUGCCCGGUCAGUCCACUCCAGUCCAGUACAGCUGCAUGCCAGGCGCUUUUGCGGUGGGGCAGCGUGGGGUCGUCCCUGUGGC
RNAcentral lists this long non-coding RNA (14208 nucleotides) under Sorghum bicolor (sorghum). RNAcentral describes it as "long non-coding RNA (SBIC_LNC001903)". Lineage: Eukaryota; Viridiplantae; Streptophyta; Magnoliopsida; Poales; Poaceae. The record is from RNAcentral.